RNAcentral lists this ribosomal RNA (229 nucleotides) under uncultured bacterium. RNAcentral describes it as "partial 16S ribosomal RNA". It matches the Rfam family "Bacterial small subunit ribosomal RNA", at positions 568 to 796 of the family's 1533-position model. The record is from RNAcentral.
GACGUAGGCGGCCUUUCAAGUCGAAUGUAAAAUCUCCCGGCUCAACUGGGAGGGACCAUACGAUACUGUUAGGCUGGAGGACAGCAGAGGGAGGUGGAAUUCCCGGUGGAGUGGUGAAAUGCGUAGAUAUCGGGAGGAACACCAGUGGCGAAGGCGACCUCCUGGGCUGUUUCUGACGCUGAGGUCCGUAAGCGUGGGGAGCAAACAGGAUUAGAUACCCUGGUAGUCC